This 19-nucleotide ribosomal RNA is filed under the name Candida dubliniensis. Its description in RNAcentral is "partial 28S rRNA". RNAcentral also lists the same sequence under 31 other names. Lineage: Eukaryota; Fungi; Ascomycota; Pichiomycetes; Serinales; Debaryomycetaceae. The record is from RNAcentral.
UUGACCUCAAAUCAGGUAG